AGUAAAAAAAUUAUUUUUAAAAGUAAAAAUUUAUGGUUUUUGAGUUUAUUGCUUGCGGCGUGGUUACAUAUUUAGCUUUAGGGUUUUGAUAUUAUUGUCUUUGUUGAUGGGAUUUUUUUAAUUUUUGGAAGUAUAGCUCGUAGUUCUAUUACUUACAUUAGUUGAUUCUUUGCCCUGUGGGAUUCAUGGUUGUAACUCCAGCGUAUAUACAGAGAUUGUUACUGGUCGUUAAUGGAGGAAGUAAAGCUCAAGCAUAGAGAGUAUUGUUGGAUGUUUGGAAUGAGUGUUUUUCAGGAAGAUGAGAAUAAGAGUAAUAAGGAUGGUACUCUAGGAAUUGGAGAGAACAACGGGAAUGCGGUCAUCAGUAAUACGUGUGGGGUUCAUGGCUGUAAGUCGAAGGCAAUGGCGCUUACGAGGUUCUGUCAUAUGUAUAUAUUGUCAGAUUCCAAGCAAAAGUUGUACAAGGCUUGCAGUUUUGUCAUUAAAAGGGAGAAGGAUGAUUACGACGUGGUAAGGAAAGUUGGGAGAAGAAAGUAUAGCGAGGUGUUUGAGGGAAUUCACACUACUAAUAAUGAAAAUGCAUUAUCAAAAUCCUUAAGCUAGUGAAGAAAAAAAAAGUUGGGAAAUUGAAGUGAUCAAAUUUGAAGGGUCGCCGCAAGUCAAUUUGAUCACAUUGAAGUGGAUGAUGUAGAGUUUUUGAACUAUUCUAAAAGUUUGAAUACAUUAUAUUUGAUUUUGUGAAAUAUAUUCAUUGCUAUAAUAUAUUGAACUAUUGUAAGAGUACUUUUUGAACUAUUGUGUACACAUAUUUAGAAUAUUGCUUUAUAAGUAUGUGUAUGUACACAAGACAUACUAUCUUUUGAAGUUCAUUGCAAAUCUAUAUAUUUGAAUUA
Molecule: RNA transcript, 893 nt
Organism: Solanum tuberosum (potato)
Lineage: Eukaryota; Viridiplantae; Streptophyta; Magnoliopsida; Solanales; Solanaceae
Exons: 3
Source: RefSeq, a predicted model, not a curated record